Molecule: transfer RNA, 75 nt
Filed under: Sphaerodactylus townsendi
Lineage: Eukaryota; Metazoa; Chordata; Lepidosauria; Squamata; Sphaerodactylidae
Description: tRNA-Ala
Rfam family: tRNA
About the family: Transfer RNA (tRNA) molecules are approximately 80 nucleotides in length. Their secondary structure includes four short double-helical elements and three loops (D, anti-codon, and T loops).
Source: RNAcentral
GGAGGGACUGUGAUUCAGUGGCAGAAGAUCUGCUUUGCAUGCAGAAGGUCCCAUGUUCAAUCCCCAGCAUCUCCA